AUGCCUCCUGGCCCCCUCCUCCUCCUCCCCCCCGCGUCGGCGAUGGCGCCGACUCGGAAGAAGCGCGCCUCGUCCGCGGCCGCGGCCGCCGCCGCCGCGGCCCAGUGGAAGGUCGGCGACCUCGUGCUCGCCAAGCUCAAGGGCUACCCGGCGUGGCCGGCCAUGAUUAGCGAGCCGCAGAAAUGGGGGCUUCCUUCAACUAAAAAGAAGUUGCUGGUCUACUUUUAUGGAACUAAAGAGAUUGCUUUCUGCAAUUAUGCUGAUCUUGAGGCGUUCACUGAAGAGAAAAAGAAAUCUCUACUUGUUAAACGACAUGGGAAAGGAGCAGAUUUUGUCAAAGCAGUUAAGGAAAUAGUUGAAAUUUUUGAUUCUAUGAAGAACGAGGACAAUAAUAAGAGUGGUUUGGCCCCUGCCAACAAUAGCAGCAGUUUGGACACUGGAGGUCCUGAAGAAGGUUCUGAUUUGGCCAAUGACAACAAGCUCGAGGGUAAUCCUGCCUCUUCCAUGGAUCACAGCAUGGCCAGUACCCCUGGGUCUAAUAUUGCUGCAUUGGAGAGUGAACACUGUGUUGUGAACUCUGCACCUGAUGAGCCUGCUAGUUCAUUUUCAAAGAAGAGGAGAAGUAAUGCUCUGCAACUAAGUUCUUGCACUCACCGUGAUCUUACUUCCCCACGGAGGCCAAGAAGUUCAUUAGGUGCUGAUCACAGGACUCGGGAUUCUUGUGGGCCAAAUGGUCUCAAUCUGCCUCCUGUUGGUAUGACCACUGAUGAUAGGCAGGAAGGUUCUUCUCGGCGUAAAUGUAUAGGUGAUGACAAACCUAAAUCGGAUCUCCUUUCAGCUAUGAAGGAUGUUAUGCUGUUCAAUUGCGGUCGAGGCACCUCAAGUCAAUCUGGAGCUUCUCUGAAUGGUAAUUAUGAGAACAAUUCGAGUUCUGCUGCAAAUAUAGAAAGUAAUCUUAAUGUUGAAGUAUGUCAAACUGUCAUGGGUAAAGAAGAUAAUCUGGAUGGGACACAAGAUCUUUCCACGAGUACAACAGUUACUUUUAAAAGAAAGCGAAGCCCGGACACCAAUGAUGUUAAUAAUUCUAUCAGCAGCGUGGUACCAAAUAUGGAUGAAGAAUUGCAGCCUAAUUCAAGUGGAAACCUGCCAGAUUCUCCAAAUUCAGGGAAUGAAGUCAAUAAGUCAGAUGGAGAUGACCACUUGCCAUUAGUGAAAAGGGCACGGGUUCGAAUGGGAAGACCCCAGCUGGAGGACUCCAUGGUUGAUGAGCUUGAUAUUUCUGGUAACAAAAUAGAGUUGGCUAUACCUGUAGAUGAAUGUUAUGAACAUGACCCGUCUUCAAUAGCGGGACAGGAUCAUCCAGCUGACCCAUCGCUGGCAUUGGGAAAUGAUCAUUCAGCUGAGGAGGUGCUUCCUGGCAUAGAUCCUUCACCCGAAGUAGACCCAUUGCUGGCACCGGGAAAUGAUCAUUUAGCUGAGGAGGUGCUUCCUGGUAUAGAUCCUUCACCCAAAGUAGACCCAUUGCUGGCAUCGGGAAAUGAUCAUUUAGCUGAGGAGGUGCUUCCUGGCAUAGAUCCUUCACCCAAAGUAGACCCAUUGCUGGCAUCGGGAAAUGAUCAUUUAGCUGAGGAGGUGCUUCCUGGCAUAGAUCCUUCACCCAAUGUAGACCUGUCUGCAUCAGGAGAAGUUCAGACUGCUUGCAAGGACAAAGAGUAUCAAUCAAAGGUUUUGACGUUAGAUGGAGAAGCUGCUUUACCUCCAUCUAAACGUCUCCAUCGUGCCUUAGAGGCUAUGUCUGCUAAUGCUGCUGAAACUACUAGUAAUCCUCCUGAAGUGAAUAAGCCAAAGGAUUGUAUCCUGAAGCCUUGCACAACGUCGAUAGGAAGCUCUCCUUUUAAUAAAUCUGCAGAUGCACUUGUCAGAAGUCCAAGGUCUGCAACAACUAAAGGCCCGGAAAUAUGUUCAACUGUACUUUCUAUAGAUACCCCAACUGGCCUAAAGUGUAUGUCACAACCAAUAUUAAACAAGGACUCCCCGUCUUCUGUUUCAUUGGAAUUGACAAACGGUGGCAAUCAUGAUCUUCCAAAAGACAAAGUUCACACCAGGGAUGAUGAUGAUAUCUGUGGAAAUUCUCCAGCCUGUUCCUUGGAGUCGAAAGAGCCUGCCUUUGUAUCUAAGUUUGAUCAGUUGCCUAUGGGGAAAGUAAGUACAAAUGAGCUCCCGGAUCCAAUUGGUAACUCUGGUCAAGAUUUUAGUAAAAAUAUUGAUGGAUCUGCUUAUCCACUUAGCCAUGCAAAGACUGUUGUGUCAGGUGCUAAUCAUGAUUCCAAUUCCGAGCCACAAAAUAAGACAGUUUUGGCUGAACCAACAGUCAGUGUGGGUGACAGGACAAGUGCCUCUUUGUUGGUUACUAAAGUUACAUGCAGCCAGAAUGUUGCAGGCGCACGAACAUUUGAAGCGCAUGGUUCUUCAGCAACCACACUGAGAGAACCUGACCACAAAAUUAGCAUGAAGGAUAUUGGUUUAUCUCCUGACCCAAUGCCUAUGAAAGGACUUAUUGCUGCUGCACAUGCUCAGAAAUUCUCUCAACCAACUUCUUUCAUAGACAGUUUUUUAGAUUCCAAUGUUAUUUCUGAACCUUCGGUGAAUAUACCUUCAGUUAAGGAAGGAUCAGGUGGCCGGUGUUCACCUUCAAAUACUAUAAUAAGGUCUGCAUCAGAUAGGAUUCAUACUCAACAGACUAGUGGUAAGAUUCUUUCUGAUAACAUACAACAAAAGAGCUUGAACAAACCAGCAGGUCAUGACGAAGCCAGGUCAGCACGGAGGGCCUUUGAAAAUUUCCUAGGUACAUUAACAAGAACAAAAGAAUGUAUAGCCCGUGCAACACGUCUCGCUCUGGAUUGUGCCAAGCAUGGCAUUGCUGGGGAGGUAAUGGAUGUCAUCAUCGAACGCCUGGAAAAAGAAUCAAAUUUAUACAAAAGGGUGGACCUGUUCUUCCUUGUUGAUUCAAUAAUCCAGUGCUGUCGCAAUCAGAAAGGUGGAGUUGGAGAUGCCUAUCCUUCUCUUAUCCAAGCAGUCCUGCCACGAAUACUAUAUGCUUCUGCACCUCCUGGAAAUUCUGCAUGGGAGAAUCGAAGACAAUGUCUUAAGGUUUUGAAACUCUGGCUUGAGAGGAAAACUCUUUCAGAAUACAUCAUUCGUCAUCAUAUUAAGGAGCUUGAAGCUCUUAAUGAAGCAUCAUUUGGGACCUCUCGUCGUCAUUCAGGGACAGAGAGAGCUCUGAAUGACCCUUUACGGGAUAACGAAGGAAUGCUUGUAGAUGAAUAUGGAAGCAAUACUGGUUUCCAUCUUCCAAAUUUGAUCUGCGUGAAACUGCUUGAUGAGGAAGGAAGCUCCUCUGAGGAUAGGAGCUUUGAAGCUGUCACUCCUGAACAUGAAUCCACUGGUGCUGAGCAAGGGGAGGGUUCUCAAUUGGAUGGGGCGAAGCAUCGACUUGUCUUUGAAGAAGUGAAUGGUGAUCUUGAGAUGGAAGAUGUAGCCCCAUCAUCUGAAGCGGAAGCCACCUCUGCAUGCCAACAAGAUAUAACAGUUGCGAGGUGUACACCGACUAGUCAAAAUGUUGAUUCUGUUCCUCCGCUACCUGAAGACAAACCUCCAACUCCUCCCCCGUUGCCAUCAUCUCCACCACCUCUACCACGCCCUCAGUGUCCUGUCAUUCAAGGUUCACAGGUUCAAGGAGCAUUGCAUGUGGCACCUGAUCGAGUCGAGCCAGAUACUUUAAGAAAUGUUCAAGAUCAGCACCCUCAUUCUAUUGCAAAUAAUCGAGGCAACAUGGAUCCUUGUGCGGUUCCAUUCCAGCCUCCACCGCCCUAUACUUCUGGCUGUGCAGGGCAUCCAAACCAGAUGCAUCCGCCGCCACCGCUGCCUCCACCGCCGCCUCCACCACCUGUCGCACCUUUCCAUCCUCCUGGACCGCAUGGAAAUUUUUCUGGGCCCCCAGUACCGCCCCAUGGAAAUAACUAUCACCGUCCACCAGCACCACCACCUCCGAAUAAUGCAUACCAUUUGCAGCCACCACCACCGCAUCCACCACCACCACAUCCACCAGGUCCGAAUCAGUUCCCAUAUAUGCCACCUGAACACCAACAAAGAGCACAACCUUGGAAUUGUAAUCCUCCCUAUCCUGAGGGAUAUCAGUACAAUGGACAUGACAGAGGACACCCUCCAUACGAUAGGAGACAUCACUUUGAUGAUAGAUGGCAUCACUUCGACGAUAGAGGGCGACGCUUUGAUGACGGAGGGCAUCAUUUCAAUGCCGGAGGACAUCAUUUUGAUGAUGGAGCAUAUCACUAUGAUGAUAGAGGGCAUCACUUCAAUGACAGAGGACAAAUGCACCAUGAACCUAUGGAUAGAGGAAGGUUUCCUCCACAUUUUGGACCAGAUCCCCCGUACCCUGACCAUUUUGAAGCUUCAUCCUCCCACCGUGGGCGACCAUCGGACGGUCCACCUGGUCCAUGUACCGACUGGUCGAUGCCGCCUAGGAGAUCCAAGUAUCCUCCUGGCUCCAGACAUUCAAUGGAGCCUCCAAUGUCCCAUGAAGGAGGUUGGAGGAGGCACGGAAGACACAAUAAUGAUAGAUUCCAUAGAUGA
Molecule: ribosomal RNA, 4650 nt
Filed under: Triticum aestivum (bread wheat)
Lineage: Eukaryota; Viridiplantae; Streptophyta; Magnoliopsida; Poales; Poaceae
Description: partial small subunit ribosomal RNA
Source: RNAcentral